Molecule: long non-coding RNA, 558 nt
Filed under: Marmota monax (woodchuck)
Lineage: Eukaryota; Metazoa; Chordata; Mammalia; Rodentia; Sciuridae
Source: RNAcentral
AAUUAUUUCAAGAAAUGCAGGAAAAAAACAUUUCUCAAGAUUCUCAACAAACAGCAGUGGUCAUGGCCAAGUGGUUAAAGUGAUGGACUAGAUUCUCAACAAAUUAGGUCAUGUAUUCUCAAAUGGUGAGAAUUGGUUCUUUCAGGAGAAGGGGAAUCUAAGAAGUUACAGGUUGACUAACCCUAAUUCAAUACCCUUGAGACAAAAAUGUUUCCAAUUUUAGAUAUUUUUAAAAAACAUUUUGUAGUGUUUACCAUAGACCUUACAGAUUGAACAUUCCUAAUCUGAAAAUCUUGAAUCUGAGAGCUGGGAAUAUGUGGUAGAUCCUCGCGUAGUAUGCAUAAAGUCCUGGAUUUGAUUCCCAGCAUUGAAAAAAAAAAGAAAGAAAAAAAACCUCUGAAAGUCCAAGAAAUUUUGAGCACACAUAAAGUUUCAGAUAUGGUUGCUUAACAUGUAUGACAAUGGUUCAUGCCUGUCCAGAGGACCACAGUACAUAAGCAGACAUAUUGUAUAUGUGGUAUUAAAAUCGUAGGAUGGCAAGCACAGUUUAAAAAAAGA